Molecule: non-coding RNA, 24 nt
Filed under: Arabidopsis thaliana (thale cress)
Lineage: Eukaryota; Viridiplantae; Streptophyta; Magnoliopsida; Brassicales; Brassicaceae
Source: RNAcentral
AGAGAAAAAGCCUCUGACGCUGCU